RNAcentral lists this long non-coding RNA (1473 nucleotides) under Marmota monax (woodchuck). The record is from RNAcentral. Lineage: Eukaryota; Metazoa; Chordata; Mammalia; Rodentia; Sciuridae.
UGGGGAUUGAACUCAGGGGCACUCAACCACUGAGCCACAUCCCCAGCCCUUUUUUGUAUUUUAUUUAGAGACAGGGUCUCACUGAGUUGCUUAGGGCCUCGCUAAGUUGUUGAGGCUGGCUUUGAAUUUAUGAUCCUCCUGCCUCAGCCUCCCCAGCCACUGGGAUAACUGGCGUGCACCACUGCUCAGGAUGUCCUCUUAAUACUGCCCAAGCAGGACAUUGUAGGUGUAUACUAGGGCUCAUGAAUUUCACCACCUAAUAAUUCUCCUUGUGGUCAGCAGCCUUCCACACCCAGAAACUGAAACCAAGUGGUAGCAGAAGCAAAAAACUGCAGUCAUCUUCCUAUGUUGCCUAAUUGCCACCUUAGGAUGAAGUCAGUCAGGCUUUCUAGGCACCAGGAGCAGCAGGAAAAAAAAAUCAGAAAUAACUGGAAAUAGUUACGGUGAGAUUGCAGACAUGGAGUGCCAGUCUCCCGCUCCUCCUGCCUCCAUCUGACCUUCCCUAAGCGGUGGGAAAUUUUAAUAAUUGAUCAGAAAAAGUAUUCCAUCAUGUGCAUAUUCUAGCACUGUCUACUACAGAUAGUCUCAGAUGUUUAUGAGAAAGAAAAAAUUUAAUAACUGUUUCAGUUUUAAUACAGAUAAGCUUAAGUAAUAGCCUUUGUUACUAUCCUUACAAGAUAAGAAGAAUGUCUUCUGAUUUUAAUCUAUAAAAUUAAUGCAAGCCCGUGUUCUAGUUGAGAUAUAACUAAAGUCAGACUUCUCAAGAUUUAAACUUCCUAAAUAUCCUAUAUUAGAUUUGUGGAUCAAAUAAGUUAUCAUUGUUUCCACUGAAUAUUGAAGAUCACAAACAUAAAAUGGUUUUUUACUAAAUGAAAUUUUAGUUACAGAUGUCAUUUCAAAGGAUUGGCGCUUAUAAAUUUCUUGUAAGUUUACAGAUCAUAAGGGUUUAAUGUGUUAGCUAAAACUGUAAUUUCCAGAUCUUUAGUUAACCUUUGCUAAGAUUUUAAAUAUUAGGCUGAAUUCAUUGACAAUCUUUGGAUAUUUGGAUAGUUUCUAAGUAAAAGAAUAUAUAAAGCUUUUGGUCACUAAACAUAGCUUCAAUUUACCCUUAUUUGCAUGUAUUAUAAAAUGGUACACAUUUACUGGUAUACAUUAAAAUGUUCCAGUGCUUUGGAUGAUGUCAUAUGCUCAUUUUGCCACCUUAAAAUUUAUAUAGAUAAUCUGAAAAUUGUGCUCAGAGAAAAUCAGCUAGAUGGUUCCUGGUUUUCUCUUGGUUUAGAGAAAACAGAAGUUAAUUAUUUAGAUUAAAAGAGAUAAAAAUAAUCAAGACUAUAUAUGAUAUUGUAAUUACAUAAAAUAUAAAUAUGUCUGGAAGAAAACAGAUAUGAUUUGUUACCUAAGGAUACUAUUUGUUAAAAUGCGUGUUUCAAUGUAAUAUCAACAUUGUUUUGUUUAAUAUGCUAAGACUGAUUA